AUUGAACGCUGGCGGCAGGCUUAACACAUGCAAGUCGAGCGGGGGAAGGUAGCUUGCUACCGGACCUAGCGGCGGACGGGUGAGUAAUGCUUAGGAAUCUGCCUAUUAGUGGGGGACAACAUCUCGAAAGGGAUGCUAAUACCGCAUACGUCCUACGGGAGAAAGCAGGGGAUCUUCGGACCUUGCGCUAAUAGAUGAGCCUAAGUCGGAUUAGCUAGUUGGUGGGGUAAAGGCCUACCAAGGCGACGAUCUGUAGCGGGUCUGAGAGGAUGAUCCGCCACACUGGGACUGAGACACGGCCCAGACUCCUACGGGAGGCAGCAGUGGGGAAUAUUGGACAAUGGGGGGAACCCUGAUCCAGCCAUGCCGCGUGUGUGAAGAAGGCCUUAUGGUUGUAAAGCACUUUAAGCGAGGAGGAAGCUACUUUAGUUAAUACCUAGAGAUAGUGGACGUUACUCGCAGAAUAAGCACCGGCUAACUCUGUG
RNAcentral lists this ribosomal RNA (485 nucleotides) under uncultured bacterium. Its description in RNAcentral is "partial 16S ribosomal RNA". It matches the Rfam family "Bacterial small subunit ribosomal RNA", at positions 30 to 507 of the family's 1533-position model. The record is from RNAcentral.